Molecule: unclassified non-coding RNA, 311 nt
Filed under: plant metagenome
Description: partial contains small subunit ribosomal RNA, internal transcribed spacer 1, and 5.8S ribosomal RNA
Source: RNAcentral
UUUCCGUAGGUGAACCUGCGGAAGGAUCAUUAGUGAAUAAACAAGUGCAGGUUGUGCUGGCCUUCCUGGGUAUGUGCACGCCUGCCAGCUUCAUUCCAUCUUCCCACCUGUGCACUCUGUGUAGAUUCUGUAUGCUAUUGUCAAGCCUUUAUUGUGCUUGGUUGAGAGGAGUUGCUUGUUUCACCAACAAGCUCUUCUUGGGCAUGCAGGUCUAUGUUUAUAUCAACACCAUAUGAAUGUUUUAGAAUGUGCUUUAGGCUUUUUGGCCUUUAAAUUAUAUACAACUUUCAACAACGGAUCUCUUGGCUCUC